GAUGAACGCUGGCGGCGUGCCUAAUACAUGCAAGUCGAGCGAACGGACGAGAAGCUUGCUUCUCUGAUGUUAGCGGCGGACGGGUGAGUAACACGUGGAUAACCUACCUAUAAGACUGGGAUAACUUCGGGAAACCGGAGCUAAUACCGGAUAAUAUUUUGAACCGCAUGGUUCAAAAGUGAAAGACGGUCUUGCUGUCACUUAUAGAUGGAUCCGCGCUGCAUUAGCUAGUUGGUAAGGUAACGGCUUACCAAGGCAACGAUGCAUAGCCGACCUGAGAGGGUGAUCUGCCACACUGGAACUGAGACGCGGUCCAGACCCCUACGGGAGGCAGCAGUAGGGAAUCUUCCGCAAUGGGCGAAAGCCUGACGGAGCAACGCCGCGUGAGUGAUGAAGGUCUUCGGAUCGUAAAACUCUGUUAUUAUGGAAGAACAUAUGUGUAAGUAACUGUGCACAUCUUGACGGUACCUAAUCAGAAAGCCACGGCUAACUACGUG
This 497-nucleotide ribosomal RNA is filed under the name uncultured bacterium. RNAcentral describes it as "partial 16S ribosomal RNA". It matches the Rfam family "Bacterial small subunit ribosomal RNA", at positions 28 to 507 of the family's 1533-position model. The record is from RNAcentral.